ACCGCCUGAGCCACCCAGGCGCCCCUAAAAUAUGGACUUUAAAGGAACUAAAGCCCAUGAAUUUCCAGAAAAUACAGGAUUAUUGCUAUUUUACUAGGACUGAAGCUGUUGGUAAAAGUAUCAUCCAUAAGCGUCUAUAAAAGUCUUGAGAGUUUCCUUAGUGGUAUUGCGUGAUGGGGCAUCCCCAGGAGAAAAAACAAAGGAUUAUUUGCAUGACGUCCCUGUGUACCCUGUGGACUUCUUUCAUUCUUCCCAGGCUGGAGUCCCAUCAGCAGCAAAAAUGUGAGCAGGAAAAUGGGUGUGUCCCUGGUGCUGUUUUGCCUGAGAAGACAAGGAUAGUACCUUAUGGAUGAUAAAGGUAGAAGACUGAGCUGCCCGGCCAGUCUGUACUGGCCAAUCUGUUGUGUAUGAAAACUUCACAACAGUUUUCACAACAAUUUCACAAUACUUCAGUGAUUGCAUUGGUAGUUUCCUUAAUUAAUACAAUUAGAUAUAUUUCUUUGUGACUAAUUCUUAGAAGGUCCAGACAAUUGAUGA
This is a long non-coding RNA of Hyaena hyaena (striped hyena), 537 nucleotides long. RefSeq lists it as uncharacterized. The transcript has 3 exons. NCBI's taxonomy places the organism in Eukaryota, Metazoa, Chordata, Mammalia, Carnivora, Hyaenidae. The record is from RefSeq and is a predicted model, not a curated record.